GAUGAACGCUGGCGGCGUGCCUAAUACAUGCAAGUCGAGCGAACAGACGAGGAGCUUGCUCCUCUGACGUUAGCGGCGGACGGGUGAGUAACACGUGGAUAACCUACCUAUCAGACUGGGAUAACUUCGGGAAACCGGAGCUAAUACCGGAUAAUAUAUUGAACCGCAUGGUUCAAUAGUGAAAUACGGUUUUUCUGUCACUUAUAGAUGGAUCCGCGCCGCAUUAGCUAGUUGGUAAGGUAACGGCUUACCAAGGCGACGAUGCGUAGCCGACCUGAGAGGGUGGUCGGCCACACUGGAACUGAGACACGGUACAGACUCCUACGGGAGGCAGCAGUAGGGAAUCUUCCGCAAUGGGCGAAAGCCUGACGGAGCAACGCCGCGUGAGUGAUGAAGGUCUUCGGAUCGUAAAACUCUGUUAUUAGGGAAGAACAAAUGUGUAAGUAACUAUGCACGUCUUGACGGUACCGAAUCAGAAAGCCACGGCUAACUACGUG
This 497-nucleotide ribosomal RNA is filed under the name uncultured bacterium. RNAcentral describes it as "partial 16S ribosomal RNA". It matches the Rfam family "Bacterial small subunit ribosomal RNA", at positions 28 to 507 of the family's 1533-position model. The record is from RNAcentral.